UAUCGUUUUAUGUUGUGCAGAUUGUUAGUUCACCGUAAAUAUGUCUUGAUUUGUACUCAAGAGUGGAGCAAGGCCCCAAGGAACAGAGAUUGACGCAACGGGAGCGAAGAACAGAAGCGAUGGAUGGUUACGCUGGUUGACUCUCGGCAUGUUCAAAAUGGCGAAGUUCCGAAUUUGUCGCUGUGUGACGUACGCGUGUGUGCUCGUGAUGUGCCGUCAUAGCGCGGGGAUAUUUGUGCUGAAUGUGUUUCACUUCGUCUACAAAACUCUGCACGCAAUGGCAUCGAAGAAGUCGUGUGUUCAGGUGCACGUAUGUGCAUGCUUGGAUACGGAAAGCCUGCCCUCAACAGUAGCGCUGAGCUCAGCCGUGUUGGCUCAGCGCUACCCCCUCAACGGAUGUUCAACAGUCUACGUGCUCGUAACUUGCUCACGAGACCUCCUUGCUGUUGCAACUCUGAGGACAAUUGCUUCAAAUGGGAAGGAACAACCAGCACUGCCAGCGCUAUUUGUACAUGAGGACACCUCCUUGCUGUUGCAACUCUGAGGACAAUUGCUUCAAAUGGGAAGGAACAACCAGCAGUGCCAGCGCUAUUUGUACAUGAGGACGACGAGAGGGUUCCACUCACCCCCUGUGUGGUGUAUUCUGGCCACAACCUGGAACAGGCAGAGUUUCUCCACCUCUGUGUCGACAAGGAGCGGCUGUUCAUGGUCAAAAAUGCGGAGGAAGGGGUCAUCGCAAUCAUGAGUGCAUUUUUUGUAUUGAACAUAGUAUAUGGGCCUAAAUACUUCAACACCAGUGCAGUACUGGAACGAUUGUUUUUUGGUUUGAAUGUAAUAAUGCCAAGUGGUUGUUACAAAGUUUGUGAACAGAGUUGUGCAGGCAAUGCGAAACUGAGGUUCAUGUAUGUUACCAUACGAAUGCUAGCCUGACAAUUUUGUGCAAUAGCUUGAGCAAUAGUUUUGUGCAAUUUUUAAUGUAUCAUUUUCUUUCUUUUUGAUCACGAUAAUAGCAUGAUCCAGUGACUUCUUCCGCUGCUUGUGCCAACCACCUAUAGACUGCACCUUUUUUUGUUCUGAUGACUUGACAGACAAUGUAAUAGUGCCCAAGUGUAGGUCAGCAAAAAACAAACGUGGUGUACUGUAGUCUGCAUGUACUUAUCGAAAACGUUGCUGGGUGUUGCUAUGUGCUGAAAAGAUUACAAUACGUCUAGUUCUAAUGAGGUCUGCCUUAACAUUAAUGUGUGUGAAACAAUUGUCAGCAGUUUUAUACAAAGAUUAUAGCUUGCUUGCUCUUCCUUAACAUAGUUUGUUUAUGAAACCUAUUUGCCAGCCAGGGAACAAUGUCCCAGCUUAUAAGUACUGCAUGAUACAACUGUUAACGUUUGUAUUCCCUUAUAGGGCACAUCAACACUGGCAGGCAGUGCUCAACUUUUCGUAACAUGCUGCUUGGUCAAUAUUUUAUAUUUUGCGCAUGUGUUGCAUUGUGUAACCUACCCAAUACAAGUGAAAGUUUUUGUGGUUUGACUGUCCUUUUAUGAACUAUGUUUUAUGUUUAUUAUGUACAACUUAGCAGCUGAGGCCUGACAUAC
This is an RNA transcript of Dermacentor silvarum, 1589 nucleotides long. RefSeq lists it as uncharacterized. Lineage: Eukaryota; Metazoa; Arthropoda; Arachnida; Ixodida; Ixodidae. The transcript has 4 exons. The record is from RefSeq and is a predicted model, not a curated record.